GAUAGCAAAAUGGAAUUCCCCCCAACAAUUAUCCAUACGCAUUUUUGACCUUGAACCGGAAAUAGUUAAGUACACCACCCGUGUCAUUCCCCUCUGGACAAUUGGACUUAUGGAACAGCUGGGAAUUAAACCAUACGCACCCUUUUCUCGGCUGGGAAAAAUCUACGAAAACCCCACAAUUAAAGCUCUCCGCCAAAUCUAACCCUAUAACCUCUACCGGAAACUGUUUUCACUCUCCUCGUGUUCCAUCUUUUAAUUGGUUCGUGGUACGGACGACAAGAAAAAGCGAGUGAGUCGAACACUCCCUAUCUCCGCUAUGAUCUUCCCUAGCACGGCUCUUUUGUUGCACACACGCUUCUCUCGAGUCGUUUGAAACCACGAGAGCACUCUUCACCGUACACCUGUAAGAUAAGGAUAGAGAUCCAGAGAAAAAACGAACAGAACUUUUUAGAGAGAGAAAGAGAGUAGCGUUGAGAGAGAAAGACUCUGAAGAUCUGAAAUCGAAGAGCCAAAGAUCGAGGAGGUUUUUGAUCUCUAGAUUUGUUGGGUUUCUCUUGGAUUUGGUCGUUAAAACUUUGAGGAGCUGUCAAGUUUGGGAGGUGAAAUUAGGGUUUUGGUGCGGAGGUGGUUAAACCCUAGUUUGGAUUGAUUUGAGAACGUGAAUUGUUUCGUUGAAGACUGUAAAAGGGGAAAUUAGGGUUUUAAACCCUAAUAUAUAUGUAUGGCUUCGGGGACAGUAGUUGGAGAAGGAAAAGAUGGUGAGAGAGAGAAGCAGAGGUACACGGAGAGCAAGGUUUAUACGAGAAAGGCGUUUAAGGGUCCCAAGAAAAACAAUAUUGUCAACGCCACCACUAACAACAGCAACACCAGCAAUGACAACAACAACAACAGCAACAACAACGUCAAUAGCGCUGCUGUGAGCAGCAGUGCCGUCAUCAAAACCGCUGCCCCUGCCGCUGCGAACAAGGAGGACAACACCAAUGAUAAGAACAACAGCGACAACAACAACUUGGCUGAAGCACCAGCUCAGCCUCUGCCUUUGGAAUACGGGGAUUCAUCUCACCAACAGCCUGCUUUGCGUGUAGAUACUGCAAUUUCUGAUGACUCUUCAUGUCUUAACAAGCAGCAUGCUGUGGCAGACAACGGAGUGAAGCCCAGCUCAGAGAACCGGGUGAAGAUCAAUUUGGCUUCAAGAUCAAAACGGGAGAUGCGGGAACUGAGGAGGAAGCUGGAGAGUGAGCUUGAUUUGGUGAGGAGUUUGGUGAAGAGGAUUGAAGUUAAAGAAGGUCAAAUAAGUGGGUUUGGUAAUUCCCGUGUUCCGUCGAAUGACACUGUUGAUUAUGGAUUCAAGACGGUUCAACCAGAGGUGGCAUCAGUGGGUAUUCCUCAGAAGCCUGUUAAGCAAUCAAGGCCUUUGAACCAGUUGAAUAUUUCUGUCGUGGAAAAUAAUCAGGUUGCAAAUGAAAAUUUGGAGAAGGAGAAGAGAACACCUAAGGCGAAUAAAUUCUAUCGGAAUUCUGAGUUUUUGCUUGCUAAAGAUAAGUUUCCACCAGCUGAGAGUAACAAAAAGUCGAAAUUGAAUGGGAAGAAGCAAGGAGGAGGUGAAUUCACUCAUGGGUUUGGUAUGGGUAACAAGUUCUUUAAGAGCUGUAGCUCUUUGCUUGAAAGACUAAUGAAGCAUAAGCAUGGUUGGGUCUUUAAUGCUCCUGUUGAUGUCAAGGGUUUGGGUUUGCAUGAUUACUAUAGUAUCAUCAAGCAUCCAAUGGAUUUGGGUACUGUGAAAUCGAGGCUUAACAAGAACUGGUACAAGUCUCCUAGAGAGUUUGCCGAGGAUGUGAGACUGACAUUUCGCAAUGCUAUGACAUAUAAUCCUAAGGGACAAGAUGUUCAUAUAAUGGCUGAGCAGUUAUCACAGAUAUUUGAGGACAAAUGGGCUCCUAUAGAGGCAGAUUAUAUUCGAGAUAUGAGACUUGCAAUAGAAUAUGAAGUGAGUCUUCCUAUGCCAACACCAAGAAAGGCACAUCCAAUGCUUCCAUCUCCACUUGAUAUGAGAAGGAUCUUGGAUAGGUCAGAGUUGAUGGUACGCCCUGUUGAUAUGAGACCAAAACUCAUUGCUACUACUCCUUCAGGUAGGACCGCUACUCCAAAAAAGCCUAAGGCAAAGGAUCUGUAUAAGAGGGAUAUGACUUAUGAGGAGAAGCAGAAGCUUAGCACUAACCUUCAGAGUUUGCCUUCAGAGAAGCUGGACAACAUUGUACAGAUUAUUAAGAAAAGGAAUUCAGCUUUCUUUCAACAUGACGAUGAAAUUGAAGUGGAUAUUGACAGUGUGGAUACUGAGACUCUUUGGGAGCUAGAUAGAUUUUUUACCAACUACAAGAAAAGUUUGAGCAAAAACAAGAGAAAAGCUGAACUUGCCAUUCAAGCUAGAGCAGAAGCUGAGCAGAUUGUACCAGAGAAGUUGCAGACUCCAGCUACUGUUUUGGUGGAACUGCCAAAAGAAGCCACAACUAAUGAACAGAAUGUGUCCACAUCACCUGUUGAAAUUGAAAAGCCGGGAGAUAAUGCUAGUAGGUCAAGUAGUUCAAGUAGCUCUAGCAGUGAUUCUGCUUCUUCUUCAACUGACUCUGAUAGUGAAAGUUCCUCAGCAUCUGGGUCUGAUGCUGAACAUUCACCAAGGUCUUGAAUGUUUUCUCAUUCAGUUUGCAGUGGCUAUGUUGUUCUGACUUGGUUUGGUUAUAGUAUGUCGGUAUGAGAAUAACUAUGCAGAGCCUUGGGUUUGGUGUAGCAUCAUACUGCAAUCCAUGUAAAUGAAAUAUGUGGCUGAUCUAAAGCAUUUAGAGUAGGUGCUGAUCCUGAAGCUUUGCAGAUUGUCUUUUAUGACUUUGAAGUAGCAUUUGAUGUAUAAUGGAGAAGUUUUUGGUGCCUCGAACUCGAAGUCCAAGGGCUCCAGCCAUUUAAGUCACUUAAGAGCGCGGAGUGGGUCUGUUUCUGCUGUUCUAGGACGUGGGAACUAGGCUGCAGCACUCUCAUGUGGACUAUCUGUAUAAUAUGGGUAGAUGUGGUGUCUUUGGCUAGGAAAAGUUGGGUUUGUUUUGCAUAGCUCGUGUACAUUGCUAACUAGUGCUACUCAUCCUAGUUUCAGGGGACUUUUUUUUUUUGGUUUAUGGUGGCAGGUCCAGGAUUCUUUCGUGUUAUAUAAGGAAAAAUAGCAGUGUAAUUCAAGUUCAUGAAGUCGUAAUUGCUUCACGUGAAAUAAUCUGUGAAAGCCCAUUUAUUUGUUGUGUUUGGCACUCGGCUGGUGUCUUGUAAUAAUUUUGUUCUUCUUACUGCACUAAUUGUACUUUUUUAUGAGAUUAAAGCAAUACAGAGAGUGUAGUAAUUAGGAGCUAACCAUGUCAGCAAUCAAAGUUAAAUACUUUAAAAGUUAUUUAAUGCUCUGAAAGGGAUAAUUUAAGGUUAAGAUUUGUCA
Molecule: RNA transcript, 3469 nt
Organism: Durio zibethinus
Lineage: Eukaryota; Viridiplantae; Streptophyta; Magnoliopsida; Malvales; Malvaceae
Gene name: transcription factor GTE4-like
Source: RefSeq, a predicted model, not a curated record